This is a long non-coding RNA of Aptenodytes forsteri (emperor penguin), 377 nucleotides long. RefSeq lists it as uncharacterized. The transcript is spliced from 3 exons. The record is from RefSeq and is a predicted model, not a curated record. Lineage: Eukaryota; Metazoa; Chordata; Aves; Sphenisciformes; Spheniscidae.
AAUGAAGCAUAAAGACCCUGAGAAAAUCCAUUAUUUAGGAGAACCCAAGCUCUGAGGAACUGAAGAGGAAAGCAGGAGCAGAGGAAAGGAGGAAGAAGCCAAGCAGUUAUUCAUCAACUACAUUAAAGUUCAGCCAUCUACCUGCCUACUGUGAUGCUGUUUGUGUCACACCAUCUGUGUCCAAGAUUAUGAACUCAUUGCGAUAGAAGUUGUGAAGACACUGACUGAUGCACCUGCAGACGAUCAUUACAGAAGGGGAAAAGCAAAUUAUCAAUGUUUAUGUGAAACAGUAUGACCCCCCAGUGGCUAACGAUGAAGAACUGCAUUUAUAGAAGAGAGUGGUCUGGAAGCACAACACGCAAACCUCAUCAGUUUUA